CGCAAGCCUGAUGCAGCAACGCCGUGUGAGUGAAGAAGGUUUUCGGAUCGUAAAACUCUGUCCUAAGGGAAGAAACAAAUGACGGUACCUUAGGAGGAAGCCCCGGCUAACUACGUGCCAGCAGCCGCGGUAAUACGUAGGGGGCAAGCGUUAUCCCGGAAUCACUGGGCGUAAAGGGGUGCGUAGGCGGCUUAGCAAGCCAGGGGUGAAAGGCAUUGGCUCAACCAAUGUAAGCCUUUGGAACUGUUAAGCUUGAGUGCAGGAGAGGUAAGUGGAAUUCCUAGUGUAGAGGUGAAAUUCGUAGAUAUUAGGAGGAACACCAGUGGCGAAGGCGACUUACUGGACUGUAACUGACGCUGAUGCACGAAAGACGUGGGUUACGCGAACAGGAUUACGACUACCCGUGGUAG
Molecule: ribosomal RNA, 410 nt
Filed under: uncultured bacterium
Lineage: Bacteria
Description: bacterial SSU rRNA
Rfam family: Bacterial small subunit ribosomal RNA
Source: RNAcentral